This is a long non-coding RNA of Hipposideros armiger (great roundleaf bat), 288 nucleotides long. RefSeq lists it as uncharacterized. The transcript has 3 exons. Lineage: Eukaryota; Metazoa; Chordata; Mammalia; Chiroptera; Hipposideridae. The record is from RefSeq and is a predicted model, not a curated record.
GGACUUUCUGAAGAACUCUGCAGGAAGGGCUGCCAAUACAUUUAAACAGUGACACCUACUGUUCAUUUAAGGUGAACUUGAUCUAAUUAGGAGAAUCAAGAUUCAGAAGUCCAAAAAACCAAACACAAGCAGAGGACUUUGGUACAGAGCCACAGACUCUUUCCAGCAUCACCAUCACCAAAAGUCAUUGGAAAGAAGCUCCCUAUCUAAACAGCACUCGUUUUAUGAUGAGGGUGGAACUGAACCAGCUGGUACCAGAAUUAUCAUUGCCAUGGCUGGAUCGAUCUG